CCAAGCUGGACUAAUCAGUUAAUUCUGGGACUAUCAAAGGUGCCAUCUUUGCAUUGGGUUGGAGAAAAGGAAGCCUGAAGCUACCAGGGACAUCUUGAGGAGAACCUGCCUGAGCAAGAGUCCAACUAAGAGAGAAAAAGUCAAGAUGCAGAGCGAGAGAAUGCAGAAGCUGACAAUAUCUGUGAUGUGAGCCCAUAGGUGUCUCCUUCCCCAAAGUUCGUUUGAGUUAGAUUUCUGUCACCAGAAGACCCUCUUUAGGACCACAUAGAAGUUCUUUCUCUCCAUGAUUUUUGUUGUUUCUAUUAAUCUUUAAAACCAAAGCAUUCGAGGACAGAGGAUAUAGCUCAGUGGUAAAGCACUUGCCUAGCAUGUGAAAGGCCUGGGUUUCAUCCCUCGCACUGAAAACAACAGCAAACAAACCAAAAAAAGGAAACCCAAGCAUUCAGUGUAUAGUCUAAGAAUCACAGUCAGCCUGUCCACCCUGGUCAUGGUAACACAUCUAUCUGUGGUCUGCUAUAGUAAUUUGCUGUCUGUAAUCUGCUUCAUGAAUUGGGAAGCUACGGUAGGCUUUCUGCAGCUGAUGAUCAUGGCCCCUGAAGCGUAGUGCAAACCAUCAUGCUGGUGCAAUGGGUUGUGUUUAAUUCUACAAAAUCUACUUGCUUUCUGGCCCAUGGAAGGGGAGAGUAGAUGAGGAAAGGUCACUCAAGACCAAGGUGGGACUACACGGGGCAGCCACCUCUCCACCUUUGUAGGUGGCCACAACCACUCAGAGGUGUGAACACUCCCUUUCUUUCAAGUAAGGAGCUCAAGAUGGGGGUCAAGGGGGUGAGAGAUGACUGUAUACUGGAGUGUCAGAGGAAGGACACCCACCCCAGGGGCAGACCUGAGCAUCUGGCAGGUGGGUGGCCAAAGACAGUAAGUCGUAGUUGAGUUGGGCCAGUGCCCCCCAGCUUCAAGUCCAUUGCCCCUCAGCACCCCUGCUCAGCUCUAGGUUGCCAAGGCUCCCUCUGUCUUGCAACCACUUCUGUACCUCUAUGCUCUCAGCCUGGUGCCAGCUCUGCUCUCCCAAGUCUCAGUCCUCAAGUUCUCAACCCUGAGCCAGGGGACCCCCAGGCUUCAGAUGUGCCUCUCCCCUCAGACUUGGAUUUCUCCUCCCACUGCCCUCUUUCAACCCAUCUGGCUCUUCCAGAAGUCUCCAUUUGGUGGGAAGAGCGGAAGCAGCGGUCCUCGGCUCUCUUAAGAAAUAGUCAAGAGCACUGAGUUUGGCUUCCCCUAGGGUCCUUUGUGGCUUGAGUCCCAGGAAGUUUGAAUACCUUUUCCUGAAGGUCAAGAGAGGAGGCAGGUAUAUAUUAAUCAUGGUUUUUUAUUUUCUCUACUUUGUGUCUGUAUGUGUUUGGGUAUCAAAACCAGGGCCUCCUGCAUGCUCUUCAAGCUCUCUACUGCUGAGCUACAUCCUCAGUCCUUUUGAUUUUGAGAAAGGGUCUUGUCUAUUUGCCAAGGCUGGUCUUGAACUUGCGAUCCUCCUGCUUUUAGUCUCUCAAAUAUCUGGGAUUAUAGCUAUGUCCCACCAUGCCCAGCACAAAUCGGAGACUUUUAAACUUUAUCUGUUUCCUUAGUUAUGCCUGGUAUUCCACUGGCUAAUCUGAUUUUGUGCCAGUGCCAUAAUGAUCAUUGUAGCUUCACAAAAUGUCCACUUUGGGGGAGGCACAGUGGACUCUUUUAUCCCCACCCCCAAUUUUUUCUUGGUCUAGAUACAUUGUAACUUUAAAUAAUUUUAUUUAUUGGAGGAACAAAAACAUGGGAAUUUUAUUUUUGCUGGUGAACUAUAGAAAUGGAAAUACUGUUUUCUUUAGAAAUACUGAAUGUCUUUUUUUCAGUUCUUCAAAACUGGAGGGCCACGACCAUGCUUCUGGUGGAGAGUCAGCUUACAGAAGCUAAUUAAGGUUAUAGAAAACGCUUGGUCUCCGGCACUCAGGAGAACAAAAUGCAUUAGCAACUGAAGUACAAAUAACAUAUUUCAAGUGAAACUGAUUAAGAGGGUCGAGCUGGAUCUUGUCAAUAGGUCUCUUUUUCAAUCUCGUCAGCUCAUAUCAGGCAGAGUGGGUCCAUCAAGAUGUGGAUGAGUCUUGACUCAAGACCAUCAGCUCCCAGCAUCACCCAGGAAGAGAUUUCUGCUUUCAUGGUACAAAGGGUCCUCGAGGUGGCCACCUGAUGGUUUGCUGUGGGAAAUACAAUUGCAUGGUUCUCAUGUCAGCAUCACCCUUAUGAUAAGACCCUGAAGAGAGCUACAUUGCUUUUGUGCCUAGUGACUUUACUAAAUUCACAUAUUAGUGUCACUGGCUAGGGGUCUCAGGGGUCUCUCUUUAGAGCAGAGGAAACCUUCAUUUGAACUCUCCAGGCUCUUGACCAUGGUCACAGAAAGGAAUUUCAGGACACUUCAAGUUUUAGUAGCAGAGGAAGAGGUUGUUUGAAAGCAAAAGAUACACACCCUAGGAGCUGAGCUGCCUCUUAGGUGGGAUGUGGUUUAUAAUGUUUAAGAGAGUGAAUAUUCAGAAGCAGGGGUUCAGUAUGGAGAAACUUUUCUGGGAGACUCUUCAUGGAAUCUUACCCAACUUCAUUAGCAUCAAAUCAUGCAGCUAAAGGGUGGGUGACAACACAUGGUAAUCAGUCGAAAUGAGUAGAAAGGUCAAGUUUGGUCAGGAGAUUCUUCUGGUGUGCCCGUGUAUGAAACCAGUGGGAGCUGGCUUGGAGAGCAAGGCCAUCUUGUCAUAAAGAUUGAUCUUUAUGACCAAUCGGGUUUUGCCCGAUCGGUUAGUGGCAGGAUGCCAGGGACUGAGGCAGAUCCCAGGCUGUCUGCAGGAGUCCUUCCUCCAUACCUAUUUCCCCCGCUACCCUAUCUCAUUAUAUUUAAUGCUUUAUCUGUAGAUUCUUUAGAAAUUUUAGGAAUACAAUUAUGCCAUGAGUAAUGAUGAUGUUUAUCCUUUUCAACCUUUAUUUAUUUAUGUACUUACUUACUUUUUUGUGUGUAUUUUGGUAGUGGUUAGAACCUCCAUUACAAUGUGGAAUAGAAGUGAUAGCAGAUAUCUGUCUCAUUCUUCAUUAAGAAUGUAUUUUGCUGCUGACUUUCUAUAGAUCUUUCAUCAGAUUUAAAGAAAUUUCUUUCUAUUCCUAGUUUUCUGAGGUUUUUAAAUGAAGAGAUAUUAACUUUUUAUUAAAUUUUUCCCUGAGCAAUGAAGAUGAUCAUUAUUAUUCUCCUCCUUUAUGCAAUUAAUGUGAAUUAUACUGAUUGCCUGUCUGAUGCUAAAUCAAUCUUGCCAUUUCUACAUAAACCCACAGGGUCAUGAUUUAUUAGCAUUUUUUAUUAUUGACAGAUUUUGUUUCUUCAUUCUUAAGUGAGAGUGACUUGUAAAUUUCUUUCUUAUGAUAUUCUUGUCAGAUUGUGCUAAGAUCGUAACACAAAUCGCAGUCUCUCCUUCUUUAUCCUUUCUCAAGAUUUACUUAUAUUGAUAUUAUUUCUUUCUUUUUUGUGGUGCUGUGGAUUGAACCGAGGGCCUUGUGCAUGUAAGGCAAGCACUCUACCAGCUGAGCUAUAUCCCCAGCCCAGAUAUUAUUUCUUUCUUAAAAGGCUAUGUUACCAAUGAAGCCACAA
This 3649-nucleotide long non-coding RNA is filed under the name Marmota monax (woodchuck). The record is from RNAcentral. Lineage: Eukaryota; Metazoa; Chordata; Mammalia; Rodentia; Sciuridae.